RNAcentral lists this ribosomal RNA (497 nucleotides) under uncultured bacterium. RNAcentral describes it as "partial 16S ribosomal RNA". It matches the Rfam family "Bacterial small subunit ribosomal RNA", at positions 28 to 507 of the family's 1533-position model. The record is from RNAcentral.
GAUGAACGCUGGUGGCGUGCCUAAUACAUGCAAGUCGAGCGAACAGACGAGGAGCUUGCUCCUCUGACGUUAGCGGCGGACGGGUGAGUAACACGUGGAUAACCUACCUAUAAGACUGGGAUAACUUCGGGAAACCGGAGCUAAUACCGGAUAAUAUAUUGAACCGCAUGGUUCAAUAGUGAAAGACGGUUUUGCUGUCACUUAUAGAUGGAUCCGCGCCGCAUUAGCUAGUUGGUAAGGUAACGGCUUACCAAGGCGACGAUGCGUAGCCGACCUGAGAGGGUGAUCGGCCACACUGGAACUGAGACACGGUCCAGACUCCUACGGGAGGCAGCAGUAGGGAAUCUUCCGCAAUGGGCGAAAGCCUGACGGAGCAACGCCGCGUGAGUGAUGAAGGUCUUCGGAUCGUAAAACUCUGUUAUUAGGGAAGAACAAAUGUGUAAGUAACUAUGCACGUCUUGACGGUACCUAAUCAGAAAGCCACGGCUAACUACGUG